Molecule: ribosomal RNA, 449 nt
Filed under: uncultured bacterium
Lineage: Bacteria
Description: partial 16S ribosomal RNA
Rfam family: Bacterial small subunit ribosomal RNA
Source: RNAcentral
AACGAACGCUGGCGGCAUGCCUAACACAUGCAAGUCGAACGAGAUCUUCGGGUCUAGUGGCGCACGGGCGCGUAACGCGUGGGAAUCUGCCCUUUGGUUCGGAAUAACAGUUGGAAACGACUGCUAAUACCGGAUGAUGACGAAAGUCCAAAGAUUUAUCGCCAGAGGAUGAGCCCGCGUAGGAUUAGCUAGUUGGUGUGGUAAAGGCGCACCAAGGCGACGAUCCUUAGCUGGUCUGAGAGGAUGAUCAGCCACACUGGGACUGAGACACGGCCCAGACUCCUACGGGAGGCAGCAGUGGGGAAUAUUGGACAAUGGGCGAAAGCCUGAUCCAGCAAUGCCGCGUGAGUGAUGAGGGCCUUAGGGUUGUAAAGCUCUUUUACCCGGGAUGAUAAUGACAGUACCGGGAGAAUAAGCUCCGGCUAACUCCGUGCCAGCCGCCGCGGUAA